UGAAGCCCUUCGGGGUGGAUUAGUGGCGAACGGGUGAGUAACACGUGGGCAAUCUGCCCUUCACUCUGGGACAAGCCCUGGAAACGGGGUCUAAUACCGGAUAACACUCUGUCCCGCAUGGGACGGGGUUGAAAGCUCCGGCGGUGAAGGAUGAGCCCGCGGCCUAUCAGCUUGUUGGUGGGGUGAUGGCCUACCAAGGCGACGACGGGUAGCCGGCCUGAGAGGGCGACCGGCCACACUGGGACUGAGACACGGCCCAGACUCCUACGGGAGGCAGCAGUGGGGAAUAUUGCACAAUGGGCGAAAGCCUGAUGCAGCGACGCCGCGUGAGGGAUGACGGCCUUCGGGUUGUAAACCUCUUUCAGCAGGGAAGAAGCGAGAGUGACGGUACCUGCAGAAGAAGCGCCGGCUAACUACGUGCCAGCAGCCGCGGUAAUACGUAGGGCGCAAGCGUUGUCCGGAAUUAUUGGGCGUAAAGAGCUCGUAGGCGGCUUGUUGCGUCGGUUGUGAAAGCCCGGGGCUUAACCCCGGGUCUGCAGUCGAUACGGGCAGGCUAGAGUGUGGUAGGGGAGAUCGGAAUUCCUGGUGUAGCGGUGAAAUGCGCAGAUAUCAGGAGGAACACCGGUGGCGAAGGCGGAUCUCUGGGCCAUUACUGACGCUGAGGAGCGGAAAGCGUGGGGAGGGAACAGGAUUAGAUACCCUGGUAGUCCACGCCGUAACGUUGGGAGCUAGGUGUUGGGCGACAUUCCACGUCGUCGGUGCCGCAAUAACGCAUUAAGUUCCCCGCCUGGGGGAGUACAGCCGCAAGGCUAAGA
Molecule: ribosomal RNA, 815 nt
Filed under: Streptomyces sp. NCCP-1302
Lineage: Bacteria; Bacillati; Actinomycetota; Actinomycetes; Kitasatosporales; Streptomycetaceae
Description: bacterial SSU rRNA
Rfam family: Bacterial small subunit ribosomal RNA
Source: RNAcentral